CAGUUCCAAAUGACCAAGACGCCAAGGGGUCUCGCCUUCUUGAAUUUAUACACUGGUUUCUUCAGUCUUCAAGUGAAUGUAACAGAAAAAUGUACCGACUGUUACAACCGAAGUGGGAAAUGCGAAAUUGAUAGCAAUCGAAAGUUCUAUUGUGCAAAUGCUAUUGAAAUAGGAUGAAACAGAAAAAUUGAAGCUAGUCCUGGGAAUAGGUAUUGGAAUCGGAGCUUCAACUCAAGAUUCACUUCUGCUGAUCCUUCCUCUAACUUAGAGUUCCAAUUAGGCAGUGCCUGCUUAGGGGUCCUUAUCUUCUCCUACACUGAACUUGCAGAAGCUAUCAAUAAUUUUAGUGUCAGUUGUUAAGGUUUUUGCCAACAAGCUGCCCGAUCCACAGUGUGGAUAAUGAAUAUAUUUUUCAAUUAUCUCUUUGUUGUAAUCUUUUAAAUUGCACUGAAUUAA
Molecule: long non-coding RNA, 456 nt
Organism: Pistacia vera
Lineage: Eukaryota; Viridiplantae; Streptophyta; Magnoliopsida; Sapindales; Anacardiaceae
Exons: 3
Source: RefSeq, a predicted model, not a curated record